UUUCACAUUAGUGCAUCCAAAAAAAAUGGUGGUGCCACACUAUUGGGUAAUAAAAGUAAUAGUUUUAUUUAUUUAUAUUAGUUUAUUUUUAUUUUGUUUGUAAUUUAUUAAUUCUUUACCUUUUUUAAAGAAAAAAUAAAAGAGUUAAUGAUUAUUUUAUUUAAUAGCAAAGUUGAAAAUAUAUAUUAAUAAAAAUAAAAAGAGGACAGAGAUACUAUAAAAAAAAAGAAGAAAUAAGCAAGCUACCAUAACAUAAAGCUAAUUCAACCACUUGAGUAAAGUACACUAAAAAAUAAUAGGCAUAUCAUUAAUAAUAUUAGGUGUAGGAGUUGUUAAAAAUAAUAGGCAUAUCAUUAAUAAUGUUAGGUGUAGGAGUUGUUAGUGUGUACAACAUGCUAAAACUACUCACACAAAUUGAUAAUUAGACUCAUUUUAAAUCUAUUUGUAAUGAUGGAGGUUUGAUAGUUAAUGG
This 472-nucleotide long non-coding RNA is filed under the name Lathyrus oleraceus (garden pea). RNAcentral describes it as "Pisum sativum (pea) long non-coding RNA (PSAT_LNC039175)". The record is from RNAcentral. Lineage: Eukaryota; Viridiplantae; Streptophyta; Magnoliopsida; Fabales; Fabaceae.